GUCAUAUCGAGGAUUCUGGGGAUUCUCUGCAUAGGCCACGUAAUAGGCAGAAACACAUGCUUGCGGCCAUGCCAUUGCUAUUCGACACUGCAACAACAACCAUGAGCAUUGUCAUCCAGAAGUUAAACUCCUCUCAGGUAUCAUAGGAAGCCUGCACAAUCCCUUUAUU
This is a long non-coding RNA of Cucumis sativus (cucumber), 169 nucleotides long. RefSeq lists it as uncharacterized. The record is from RefSeq and is a predicted model, not a curated record. The transcript has 2 exons. NCBI's taxonomy places the organism in Eukaryota, Viridiplantae, Streptophyta, Magnoliopsida, Cucurbitales, Cucurbitaceae.